Molecule: long non-coding RNA, 1887 nt
Organism: Pseudophryne corroboree (corroboree frog)
Lineage: Eukaryota; Metazoa; Chordata; Amphibia; Anura; Myobatrachidae
Exons: 3
Source: RefSeq, a predicted model, not a curated record
CCAGGAACAGAGCAUUUUCUCCCUCAUGGAGAGGGUCAGGUGGGCAAGCAUGAAGUGGACCAAUGUUACCGGUAUAAAUAAUACAGUUGGGUAGCAGAGAGACAACAAUAUACAGGUUGCAAUAAAAUGACGUAACAUUUGGGAAAGAAUAUGCAAACAAGUAGCCCAGCACUGGAAGAUAUGAUGGCAAAUAUCUCCACUGCGACCAUGUGUUUUCCUUUGGUGCUUAGAUAAGCUGGGAUAAAUGUAAUCCAGACACUAGCAAACACUAACAUGCUGAAAGUGAUAAACUUGGCUUCAUUGAAAGUGUCGGGGAGAUUCCUGGCUAGAAAUGCAACAAGGAGGCUGAGAGACGCCAAGAGUCCCAUGUAGCCCAAAACACAGGCAAAUAAUACUUUAGACCCUUCAUUACAUUCAAUAAUUAUAGUUCCAAUCUCUGCCACCAUAUUGAGUUCUUCAAAAGGAGCAGAUGUAGACAACCAUAAUAGGCACAAGACUAUCUGGACCAAUGUACAUGAAGGAACAAUGUAUAUAGGAAUUCGUAGUCCAACAAGUCUUUUUAUUUUACUAUCUGGAUUUGGAGCACUGAAAACCAUUAUGACUGUGAUAGUCUUGGCUAGUAUUGCUGACAGACAAAUGGAGAAAAUAAUUCCAAAUACCACUUGGCGUAACAUGCAGGUUAACAUGUUUGGUUGUCCAAUGAAUACUAAGGAGCACAUGAAGCAAAACAUAAUGGAGACAAGAAGAAGAUAACUAAGUUCUCUGUUGUUGGCUUUAACUAUGGGUGUUUUAUGUUUCACAAUAAACAAACAGAGUACAGACAAUGUGAGAGCACAGCAAAUGAUUGAGAUGAAAGUCAAGGAUGAACCCAACAGCUCAUCAUAAGAAAGAAACUGAAUGGGUUUUGGCACACAUUUCUCUUUUGAUGAGUUUGGCCACUGAUCUUCUGGACAUCUUAGACAUUCUGCACUAUCUAAGGAAAGUACAAAAAUGAUUAUUAGUAUAAUGUACAAAAAAAAUGGAACUCUUUAAAUGAAAUGAUCAUUUAUGUACACACAUGGGAAAAAUAUAUUUUGCUGGAAAAGCCAAUAAUCAAGAUGAAACCUUGGCAAUGCAACUGGUUCCUGAAUAAUUUAAAGGCUACCUUCAAGAAUUAAUUAUCAUGAUAAUUAAAUAUGCCCACAAAAUACCCUGCAUUUCAACUUUUGAAAAAUAAAGAGAUUUUUCUAGGCACUUUAUACAUUAGUGACUAAAUAAAUAAAUCUAAAAACAAAAUGUAAUGCACAGUUGAAAAUAAUUGAGAAUAAGUUAAGUUACAGUAUAAAACAAUUCUUAGAUUUUUUUACGUUGCAAAUUAGUUUUUAUAAUAAUAUUUAGAAAAAACGCUAAUUUGGGUUAUACUGUAUAGUGCUCAUUAAGCAACAAACAGUACUGCUAAUGUACAGAGACAUGACACAUCCAAAAUAGUUAUAUUUUAAUACAAAAUAAACAUUUUAUAAAGCAUGAAAGGUGUAUGCAUUUGAAGAUUUAUUUAAAAUUAAAAACAAAAACAAAAAUUCCAUAACUAUGUCAGUGAAAACUCAAGUCACAAUAUUGACUCGCAUCAUGUGAUCUAUUGGCUGCCAUUGUUUUAAAUGUUAUUGUACCUCACUUGAAUUACAUAACAGGGCAUCACAUAAUGAAAUUAAUGAGCCCCUGUUUUAUGGCCCUUCAUCCCCUUCAGACAUAGAGAGGGCACUGAUGAGCUUCAGGGACAAUGUCAGAGACAGUCAGUGGCUGGUGGGAAUCAGAGGCGGCAUAUGCAGGGAGAGAGGAGAUUAUAAUAGUCUGACUCUACUGACCAUUAGGAGCAGUCUGAGAUACCAGAUCAGCAGCUGGACCUGCGCA